Molecule: ribosomal RNA, 490 nt
Filed under: uncultured bacterium
Lineage: Bacteria
Description: partial 16S ribosomal RNA
Rfam family: Bacterial small subunit ribosomal RNA
Source: RNAcentral
AUUGAACGCUGGCGGCAGGCCUAACACAUGCAAGUCGAACGGUAACAGAAAGCAGCUUGCUGCUUUGCUGACGAGUGGCGGACGGGUGAGUAAUGUCUGGGAAACUGCCUGAUGGAGGGGGAUAACUACUGGAAACGGUAGCUAAUACCGCGUAACGUCGCAAGACCAAAGAGGGGGACCUUCGGGCCUCUUGCCAUCGGAUGUGCCCAGAUGGGAUUAGCUUGUUGGUGGGGUAACGGCUCACCAAGGCGACGAUCCCUAGCUGGUCUGAGAGGAUGACCAGCCACACUGGAACUGAGACACGGUCCAGACUCCUACGGGAGGCAGCAGUGGGGAAUAUUGCACAAUGGGCGCAAGCCUGAUGCAGCCAUGCCGCGUGUAUGAAGAAGGCCUUCGGGUUGUAAAGUACUUUCAGCGGGGAGGAAGGGAGUAAAGUUAAUACCUUUGCUCAUUGACGUUACCCGCAGAAGAAGCACCGGCUAACUCCGUG